CAGCUCGUGUUGUGAAAUGUUGGGUUAAGUCCCGCAACGAGCGCAACCCUUAUCCUUUGUUGCCAGCGAUUAGGUCGGGAACUCAAAGGAGACUGCCAGUGAUAAACUGGAGGAAGGUGGGGAUGACGUCAAGUCAUCAUGGCCCUUACGACCAGGGCUACACACGUGCUACAAUGGCGCAUACAAAGAGAAGCGACCUCGCGAGAGCAAGCGGACCUCAUAAAGUGCGUCGUAGUCCGGAUUGGAGUCUGCAACUCGACUCCAUGAAGUCGGAAUCGCUAGUAAUCGUGGAUCAGAAUGCCACGGUGAAUACGUUCCCGGGCCUUGUACACACCGCCCGUCACACCAUGGGAGUGGGUUGCAAAAGAAGUAGGUAGCUUAACCUUCGGGAGGGCGCUUACCACUUUGUGAUUCAUGACUGGGGUGAAGUCGUAACAAGGUAACCGUAGGGGAACCUGCGGUUGGA
This 466-nucleotide ribosomal RNA is filed under the name Salmonella enterica. RNAcentral describes it as "bacterial SSU rRNA". It matches the Rfam family "Bacterial small subunit ribosomal RNA", at positions 1056 to 1522 of the family's 1533-position model. Lineage: Bacteria; Pseudomonadati; Pseudomonadota; Gammaproteobacteria; Enterobacterales; Enterobacteriaceae. The record is from RNAcentral. RNAcentral also lists the same sequence under 4 other names.